RNAcentral lists this ribosomal RNA (492 nucleotides) under uncultured bacterium. RNAcentral describes it as "partial 16S ribosomal RNA". It matches the Rfam family "Bacterial small subunit ribosomal RNA", at positions 29 to 507 of the family's 1533-position model. The record is from RNAcentral.
AGUGAACGCUGGCGGUAGGCCUAACACAUGUAAGUCGAACGGCAGCACAGUAAGAGCUUGCUCUUACGGGUGGCGAGUGGCGGACGGGUGAGGAAUACAUCGGAAUCUACUUUUUCGUGGGGGAUAACGUAGGGAAACUUACGCGAAUACCGCAUACGACCUACGGGUGAAAGCAGGGGAACUUCGGCCCUUGCGCGAUUGAAUGAGCCGAUGUCGGAUUAGCUAGUUGGAGGGGUAAAGGCCCACCAAGGCGACGAUCCGUAGAUGGUCUGAGAAGAUGAUCAGCCACACUGGAACUGAGACACGGUCCAGACUCCUACGGGAGGCAGCAGUGGGGAAUAUUGGACAAUGGGCGCAAGCCUGAUCCAGCCAUACCGCGUGGGUGAAGAAGGCCUUCGGGUUGUAAAGCCCUUUUGUUGGGAAAGAAAAGCAGCAGGUUAAUACCCCGCUGUUCUGACGGUACCCAAAGAAUAAGCACCGGCUAACUUCGUG